AUCAACUUUCGAUGGUAGGAUAGAGGCCUACCAUGGUGGUAACGGGUAACGGGGUGUUAGGGCACGACACCGGAGAGGGAGCCUGAGAAACGGCUACCACAUCCAAGGAUGGCAGCAGGCGCGCAAAUUACCCAAUCCCGACACGGGGAGGUAGUGACAAUAAAUAACAAUACGGGGUUCUUUCGGAUCUCGUAAUUGGAAUGAGUACAAUUUAAAUCUCUUAACGAGGAACAAUUGGAGGGCAAGUCUGGUGCCAGCAGCCGCGGUAAUUCCAGCUCCAAUAGCGUAUAUUAAAGUUGUUGCAGUUAAAAAGCUCGUAGUUGAAUUUCGGGGUUAGUAGGUUGGUCAUGCCUCUGGUAUGUACUGGUCUCACUGAUUCCUCCUUCCUGAUGAACCGUAAUGCCAUUAAUUUGGUGUUGCGGGGAAUUUGGACUGUUACUUUGAAAAAAUUAGAGUGUUUAAAGCAAGCUAACGCUUGAAUACAUUAGCAUGGAAUAAUGAAAUAGGACGUUCGAUCCUAUUUUGUUGGUUUCUAGGAUUGACGUAAUGAUUAAUAGGGAUAGUUGGGGGCAUUAGUAUUCAAUUGUCAGAGAUGAAAUUCUUGGAUUUAUUGAAGACUAACUAUUGCGAAAGCAUUUGCCAAGGAUGUUUUCAUUAAUCAAGAACGAAAGUUAGGGGAUCGAAGACGAUCAGAUACCGUCGUAGUCUUAACCAUAAACCAUGCCGACUAGGGACCGGAUGAUGUUAAUUUUUUAAUGACUCAUUCGGCGCCUUACGGGAAACCAAAGUGUUUGGGUUC
This 799-nucleotide ribosomal RNA is filed under the name uncultured Glomus. RNAcentral describes it as "SSU rRNA". It matches the Rfam family "Eukaryotic small subunit ribosomal RNA", at positions 314 to 1114 of the family's 1831-position model. Lineage: Eukaryota; Fungi; Glomeromycota; Glomeromycetes; Glomerales; Glomeraceae. The record is from RNAcentral.